This 254-nucleotide ribosomal RNA is filed under the name uncultured bacterium. Its description in RNAcentral is "partial 16S ribosomal RNA". It matches the Rfam family "Bacterial small subunit ribosomal RNA", at positions 524 to 776 of the family's 1533-position model. The record is from RNAcentral.
UACGAAGGGGGCUAGCGUUGCUCGGAAUUACUGGGCGUAAAGGGCGCGCAGGCGGCUCUGAAAGUCAGACGUGAAAGCCCCGGGCUUAACCUGGGAAUUGCAUUUGAUACUCUGGAGCUUGAGUGUGGGAGAGGAGAGUGGAAUUCCCAGUGUAGAGGUGAAAUUCGUAGAUAUUGGGAAGAACACCGGUGGCGAAGGCGGCUCUCUGGGACCACAACUGACGCUGAGGCGCGAAAGCUAGGGGAGCAAACGGG